This 388-nucleotide ribosomal RNA is filed under the name uncultured fungus. Its description in RNAcentral is "partial small subunit ribosomal RNA". It matches the Rfam family "Eukaryotic small subunit ribosomal RNA", at positions 30 to 432 of the family's 1831-position model. Lineage: Eukaryota; Fungi. The record is from RNAcentral.
GCUUGUCUCAAAGAUUAAGCCAUGCAAAGGAACGUUCAACCCCAUUUGGGGAAGACGCUGGCCGGCUCAUUAAAUCAGUCAUAGUUCAUUCGACAGAUCACUCUACAUGGAUAACCGUAGUAAUUCUAGAGCUAAUACAUGCAUCAACCCCCGACUUUUGAAGGGGUGUAUUUAUUAGAUUGAAACCAAUGCGGGUUCGCCCGGUAUUUGGUGAUUCAUAAUAACUUUCGGAUCGACUUCGGUCGAUGCAUCAUUCAAGUUUCUGCCCUAUCAGCUUUGGAUGGUAGGGUAUUGGCCUACCAUGGCUUUAACGGGUAACGGAGAAUUAGGGUUCGAUUCCGGAGAGGGAGCCUGAGAAAUGGCUACCACAUCCAAGGAAGGCAGCAGG